UACGUAGGGGGCAAGCGUUGUCCGGAAUCAUUGGGCGUAAAGAGCGUGUGGGCGGUCCGGUAAGUCGGCUGUGAAAGUCCAGGGCUCAACCCUGGGAUGCCGGUCGAUACUGCCGGACUAGAGUUCGGAAGAGGCGAGUGGAAUUCCCGGUGUAGCGGUGAAAUGCGCAGAUAUCGGGAGGAACACCUAUGGCGAAGGCAGCUCGCUGGGACGUUACUGACGCUGAGACGCGAAAGCGUGGGGAGCAAACAGG
This 253-nucleotide ribosomal RNA is filed under the name uncultured bacterium. RNAcentral's name for it is "partial 16S ribosomal RNA". It matches the Rfam family "Bacterial small subunit ribosomal RNA", at positions 524 to 776 of the family's 1533-position model. The record is from RNAcentral.